GUCUCAAAUUGCCCAGUACUUAAAAGAGUUAAAAAGGUGGGACCACCACCGCCUGUGCUCUGAAGCUGUAAUCGAUUCUGGGGCAUAUUCUUGUUAUAUAGAUUCUGCACUUGUAUUGUUGAAUAAAAUUCCACUUGUUAAAAAGCAAAA
This is a long non-coding RNA of Bombina bombina (fire-bellied toad), 150 nucleotides long. RefSeq lists it as uncharacterized. The transcript is spliced from 2 exons. Lineage: Eukaryota; Metazoa; Chordata; Amphibia; Anura; Bombinatoridae. The record is from RefSeq and is a predicted model, not a curated record.